RNAcentral lists this long non-coding RNA (3851 nucleotides) under Lupinus angustifolius (narrow-leaved blue lupine). RNAcentral describes it as "long non-coding RNA (LANG_LNC002413)". The record is from RNAcentral. Lineage: Eukaryota; Viridiplantae; Streptophyta; Magnoliopsida; Fabales; Fabaceae.
UCUCUUCAGGAAACACCACCACACCACCACCACAACAACAACAACCCUUAUUAUCAAAACCACCAAUCUCAUUUACAACACCUUCACCCUCAAGUAUCUAACACUAGUAGCGGUGGUGCUACUACAACUACAACAAGUUCUACAAGGUUGAAUAACAUUAAUUAUGGGGUUUCCAUGCUUGAUGUGUCAUCUGAAGGGUUGAGACCAAUCAAGGGAAUUCCAGUGUAUCACAACCGUUCAUUCCCUUUUCUCCCAGUAGAGCAUACAAGAGACAUGGAUCAUCAUCAUCCCAAGAUGUGUUUAUAUCAUCACAUGCCUUCAUAUCCUUCUCUAUCUUCUUCUUCUCCUUCCUCUUCUUCCCCUUCACCCUACUUGGCCACCGCGGCGCCCGGUUUGGAUCCCAUGUCCUUAUUAAACUCCGGCACCCCCAACGGCCCCGCGGCGGCAUAUAGGGCUGCUGCAGCCACAAUGUUUAAUGGGAUUUCCGGUGAGGCUUUCAAAUCUCAUCAUCCAUUGCACCACCACUCACACUAUGGGGUUGGACCCUCUCAUCAUGAGGCUACUUCAGCAGGGCUGAUGAGAUCAAGGUUCUUGCCUAAAUUACCAACAAAAAGGAGCAUGAGAGCACCUAGAAUGAGAUGGACAAGCACCCUCCAUGCUAGAUUUGUUCAUGCUGUUGAACUUCUUGGUGGCCAUGAAAGUAAAGAUUUUGUUUUUCCCUUUAUUUUUUACUACCCCAAACUUUUUCUACCAUUUCUUCUUUCAAUGCCCUUCUUUUAAAAAAAUGAUUUUUAUCUUGACUUUAGUCUCUCAUUUGCUUUCUUUUCUUUUAAUGAAUAAAUGUAUAUAUGUAUGCACUUUAGUUAUAUGUAUCUCUUUUAGGCUUUUGGCUAAUGCAUCUAGAUUGUGAAUUUUAGGAGCUACUCCAAAGUCAGUUCUGGAGCUCAUGGAUGUGAAGGAUCUUACAUUAGCUCAUGUAAAAAGCCAUUUGCAGGUAUUUGCUUUUCAAUAUCUUUUUUUUUUCUAUCUCUAUUUAGUGGGGAACAAUUUUUUGGGGUUCAACUCCUCUCCUAAAUCAGGUUUUUAGUCAGAAUGGAGAGUAUUGUUUUUUCUUUUAAUUUUAAGGAUAAUGUCUUCUCACUAUAAAUAAAGGAUACAAUUGUCAUUAAUUUUUUUUUAUUUGUUAUUUCAUAGUAUUCUCCUCUGCAGUACCUGAGGGAGGAUUACAAUUCCCGUAUUUUGUGUAUUUUAUUUACUGGCACUGUAGCCAAUGGAGAAAGCAGUGAAUGUGGGAGUAGUGGAUGAAUUUAAAGACUGUAGUAGUGAGCUAAGUAAGGAGCCUUUAACUUCUGAAUUCUGAAACGACCAGACAGAGACACAGCUUCUGCAUAGAGAGAAAGAAAGAGAGAGAGAAACAAAAACAGACAAAAAAGUCAUCAUUUUCCAAUAAUACACUUCUCAUUACAAUCUCAUCAAAUAUCAACCUCGUGAUUAAUGAUUAAACCCAGACAAUCCCAGAGAAGAGAGAGAAAGAGAAAGGGAUCUAAAUGGGAAUCACCAGUUUUUAAUUUAGAUCUUUUAAUUUUUAUUUAAGGAAAAGAAUAGGGCUUAUAAUUAAUUAUAUAGUUCUAUAUGUGUAUACUUAUGUACUUGUAGUUAUAUAUGUUUCAAGUGCAGAAAUGACAUUAUAAGUAAAAUGCUUUGUUUUUAUUAUUUCUUCUCAGAUGUAUCGAACUGUUAAGACCACUAACAAACCUCCUGCAUCUUCAGGUAAUUCUUAUAAUUUAUUUUAUUUUAUAGCAGACUUAUCAUUUAUUUUACUAACAUAUAUAUUUUUGAAGGAAAUGCCACUUAUUUUCAGGAUGUGUUUUCUACUAUUACUUUAAAUUUUUCCUCUUGAAAGUUUUCACUGUUAUAUAUCAGAAGUCCAUAAGACUCUACAUUACUCCAAAGUCCAAACCAAACAAUUUAAAAAAUUAUGAAGAUGCAUGUAUGCAUGCAAACAUGUUGUAAUUUCAAUUUUGGAGUCAUGAAUUUUUUCUUAGUGCAGGUCUUUCAGAUGGAUCUGGAGAGGAUGACAUGUCUCCUAUCGGCAGCAGCGGUAGCGGCGGUCCACGUCAAUUUCCGGACCAAAGAAGCCUACCGGAUCGGCCAGUGCAACAAGACAUGGACUACACUUCCACUACCACCACCACUCUAUGGAGUAACUCUUCAAGGUACCAUUACCAAUUCCUCUUUAAUUCUCUAAUUAGAGAGUAGAGACCACAUUUUAGUUGUACAUGAUUUUUUAUGUGCUUAUGUUGAGGUAUACAUUAAGGAUAAUUUUGGGUUACUGGGUUGGUUGAUUUACUUUUACUUUUGCAUGAGAUCUAUGCAAACCCACGUCCACCAUACUCUCUUUUAUGAAGAAUAAAAAGGGUUCUUGUGGCAGCUUUUACUUUACUUGUGUUUGAUUUUCCACUUUUCUUUUGUUUCAUCUAUAUAUCUUUUGUACCUUGGUGAAAUGUUUUGCCUUAGAUAUAUAACCAUUUCUAAGGAAAGCUACAUGACAUAAUCUAACGUUAAUUAGGAUUUAAAGAAAGCAACCCUCAACCAUUCUCUUUUUGCCUCUUUUCUUUUCUCCCUUUAGAAUUUUUUGUGUGUGCUAGUCCUUUAAGGAAAUACUAACAAUCUUGUAAUGCAUAAUUGAUCUUUAACUACGGAAUAUUAUUAAAAAAUAUGUGGCUUCGGUAGGUUUUGCAUAUAACCCAAACAAUUACUUCCUUCAUGUACGUUAAGUAUCUUCAAUCAAGUAUUAUGAAUUCAUGACAAGUGAUAAUGUCAAUGUUGGUGAUCAUUGUUGAAUUAGCCAUGAUUNNNNNNNNNNNNNNNNNNNNNNNNNNNNNNNNNNNNNNNNNNNNNNNNNNNNNNNNNNNNNNNNNNNNNNNNNNNNNNNNNNNNNNNNNNNNNNNNNNNNUUCCCUUCAUAUAAGCCCUCCAAGCACCACUUCUUCCUCUUCUUCUUUGAUUUGUAACAACACCACAACUCAAGUAAGUGGUGGUGGCACCAAUUAUGAAGCACAUAAUUCAUCCCAAGCCACUAAUUUUUCUUCAAGAACUGUGCCUCAAGCUCAUACUGAGCUCUCUCUUGGAAGAAAUUUCUGUGGUGGAGGAACAUCUCUUCAGGAAACACCACCACACCACCACCACAACAACAACAACCCUUAUUAUCAAAACCACCAAUCUCAUUUACAACACCUUCACCCUCAAGUAUCUAACACUAGUAGCGGUGGUGCUACUACAACUACAACAAGUUCUACAAGGUUGAAUAACAUUAAUUAUGGGGUUUCCAUGCUUGAUGUGUCAUCUGAAGGGUUGAGACCAAUCAAGGGAAUUCCAGUGUAUCACAACCGUUCAUUCCCUUUUCUCCCAGUAGAGCAUACAAGAGACAUGGAUCAUCAUCAUCCCAAGAUGUGUUUAUAUCAUCACAUGCCUUCAUAUCCUUCUCUAUCUUCUUCUUCUCCUUCCUCUUCUUCCCCUUCACCCUACUUGGCCACCGCGGCGCCCGGUUUGGAUCCCAUGUCCUUAUUAAACUCCGGCACCCCCAACGGCCCCGCGGCGGCAUAUAGGGCUGCUGCAGCCACAAUGUUUAAUGGGAUUUCCGGUGAGGCUUUCAAAUCUCAUCAUCCAUUGCACCACCACUCACACUAUGGGGUUGGACCCUCUCAUCAUGAGGCUACUUCAGCAGGGCUGAUGAGAUCAAGGUUCUUGCCUAAAUUACCAACAAAAAGGAGCAUGAGAGCACCUAGAAUGAGAUGGACAAGCACCCUCCAUGCUAGAUUUGUUCAUGCUGUUGAACUUCUUGGUGGCCAU